UUUUCGUUUCCUAUACGCAUUAAAUGGAAGACAACCAUGUCGUGCUUGGUACUAUGGUGGAUAGGUUCAUUUAGCUGGUCACUACCAUCGCUCACUAACUUGAAUGCUGGAGAUGGUACUGCGGAACUGGCGCUGGACAGCCUCCGGGAGUUUCUUAACGUCGGGGAUGUUAAUGGAAUUGAAAGAUAUGCUCGACCAAUUCUCAAAGCAUGCCGACAGCUACUCGAAGAUGCAAGAACCUCGUGGAGUUUAUUGCACCGCCUCUUGGCAUUAUAACUCAGUUCUCACUAAAGUUUUCUCGAUGCUCCCAAACCCAUUUUGUGGACAUCGUGGAUCUGCUUCUUGGUUGGGCAUUGAUACCGGACUUCGGAGAAUCAGAUAGAUGUGUUAUUGUGGAUUGGUUCGUGCAAUUCCAAAAGCAUCGGGUCGGUAAUUUGCAGUUCUCGCUUGGAUUAACGUCGAAGUUCCAGGGUGACAUGGAUGCGCUGCUGCAGGAUGGGGUCUGGGUACUCCACAACAAUUUCGAAGACUGCUCGCCCUGCUUUCUCGUUUUUCUACCAUUCUGCGGUCCACUUCUUCAGGGUUGAAGCAAAUCUUCUCGGGCAAAUAAGCGAUCCACUUAACAAGAUGCUUCCACAGCUGCUAGGCAAAUUUGCUCGGACAGAGAUUUGGAUGGUCAAAAUGGAUUGGGGACAUGUCGAAGUGCUCGACUCUCUCGGUGGAAAUUCUACGCGAAAAUUUCUCCACCUUGUAUCCACUUGCAAUAGAUACUUUAUUCCAGAGCGUGAGAAUGAACAAUGGUAAUUCAGCUGUGGGAGCUGGAAAAUUAAGUUCAUUUCACAUUCGCGGAGUCUUGAAGACGAAUAUUCAGCUCCUAUCAUUGCAGAAUCUUGGCCUUCCGUCAUCAUCUGUGCACAAAUACUGCAACUUGAUGCACUGGUAUCCCAGGUCUGUUUGCAUCCAAGUCAUGUAGUGACGGCAAGUUGUGCCAUAGCUUAUGUUUUCUUGCCGCGACAUGGUGAUAAUGAUGUCGUGGAACAAGGAAGGGACUCGUUGUUGGUGGAAUUGGACAUGUUGAAAGGUAAAAAUGCUCACGCAUUGUCAGUAUUUGAGGCGCAUGGAGAUGAAACUAGAUGGCCGAGAUAUUGAUGAAACCUGAAGUGAGCACGGCGGAGCAGGUGGAUUGUCUAAUCAACCAAGCUACUAGCGUGGACAACCUUUGCAACAUGUUUGAAGGGUGGACAACGUGGAUUUGAGUUUUUGACGACAGCAACUCGGAGGGGAUUUGGGGAGCUGCAUUCUCAAAACAUCCCAUGGUGCAAUGUGCAGCACACUGCAUUUGCAUGCAAAUUCCAACUGCUGAAGUCAAGGGAGCCAAAAUGGAUUCGAGCAACACUGCAAAUAAGCAAAUGGUGUGUCAAAGUGCCGAUCAAACUUGUCUCAUUUCUCACCGGGUAAGGUAAGUGAGUUGCAGCACACUGAUUGCCAGGUCAAUUUGGCAAUGUGGUUUGGGCUUGGUCUUGGAGUACAAUAUCUGCUCAUCCUCGCUUAUGACAUAAAGCUCCAAGGUACUUGGACUCACAUCAUGAGAUGCUAUGUGAUGGGAGUGCUUUACGCCUCUCCUCUCGCCCCGGGAACUGGUGGUCUCCCGGAGUCACACGACCGGAAGUUCUCGUCUGGUUUUUCUUUGCUGAUGAUGGCAGUGUGAGGACUUGAAGAAGAGCCAUUUGAUUUUGCGGGCUCCAUCAGCUGGGUAUCGUUUUGUAGCCGGAGGAGCAUUCCUAGUUCCUGAUUGGUUUAGUCCGUUGGCUGGAGAAUGGUGGCCAGGGCUCCUCCAGUGGGAAAGCAGCCAAAGGGAGGAUUACUGUUCCCAGGAACGGGCCGUUGUAUCGCACAAGAACGGUGGUCAGAACAAUUCAUUGUAUCACGCAGGAACGGUUGCGGCCCACCAGGAGAAUUAUGGUGUAAGGCCGGUCCACACAUUCAAUUUUAGGACAAUCUCUCUAGUUCAGUGAAAAUGGGUGAUAGCUGCAUGUUGAGCACUUCGGUUCUUCCAGUUCCUCUUGCAUUCUAGAGCAAUGACGCAAUUGUGGGCCGAGUAAUCAGCAACUGGAUUGUGUUAGGAACCUUGUGGUUGGAGUAUGUCUUCACCAAACCGGAUGAAAUUGUUUCCACCCAUUGAAUCAGUGUUAUCAGGUAUUUCAAAUGGAAAGUUCGCUUAAUACAAUCGGCAGUUAUUCGCUGAGUUGUUAGAGAUUCAUCUCCUGCCCUCCUGCAAUUGUUGAUUGUGAUGCUGACACCUUCUUCUUGGAGUGUAUCCGAUGGUUGGAAUGAUUAUCCAUCUACCAGCGAAUAAUAGAUAUCUUGAUUGUAAGUAUGGAGGUGCAGAUCCCGAAGCCAAAUGAUUUUCUUGGCUUUUCAAAUUAUUUUAAUUUUGCACAGUGGAUUACAAGACUAAUUUUCCAUGGGCUAUGUGCAAUUGCAACGACGACAUUACAGUCACUACCAGAUAUGGUUCCAGCCUACAUAAGAGAACUGUCAGAUCUUUUUAUCUUAUACCGAUAAUAUAUAUGGCCUAGGGCAGCGGGCAGUGGACGACUUGUCAGGUAUUAUUGACCUCUUAAAAAGCCUUACAUGGAUUUGAUAAUCCAUCAACGUAAAUAAGACGAUACCAUUUGCUCGUACUGGUUUCCUCUCCUUUGUCCCUCUUGAAGCAACAAAAGAAGAGGGAAACAAAAAGAGUUGCAGAAAACCAACCAACGAUCACCGAGAGCACACAGGUACCAAAUCAACCAUGUUAUCUCCAAAACUACUCAGUCAACUCUUUUUUUAUAAAACCCAACUUCAGAUAAUAAGACCCGCUCACAUCUCAACAUCAUCAACCAACUCAAACAGCUUCGAUUUCCUCAGUUAUUGUCUCUCUCCACUUCUGUGUGAGCUUAGUUCAACUCAGUGAACUCAAUUCUGAUAAUUCUGAAGAAAUUGACCAUGUCUGAGGUUGUGGACAAGUGGACCAGGAAGCUACGUGAAAUGGGUCGAGCCAUAUUCUCAGCUGGCUCAGCAAACUCAGGCCAGCGAAGCCAGUCAAGCGGAGACCGGGAGCUCGGGUUGGCUGUCUCCGGUUUUCGGCCGAGUCAAGCUAGUCAGGUCACCAGCUGUCCUCUGCUCCGAGGCCUCAGUGUGUAUGCUUGUCGAGUGUUUUAGCCCUUGAACCACAGACCUUAUUUGGCUUGGCUCAGUCAUGCUUUCGCUUCAUUUUGGGUUUGGAAUUAUCUCUGUAUAUGCUUCCUUUCCCGAGUUAUGUUACAAGAAACGUGCUUCUUUUGU
This is a long non-coding RNA of Syzygium oleosum, 3327 nucleotides long. RefSeq lists it as uncharacterized. The record is from RefSeq and is a predicted model, not a curated record. The transcript has 3 exons. NCBI's taxonomy places the organism in Eukaryota, Viridiplantae, Streptophyta, Magnoliopsida, Myrtales, Myrtaceae.